AUGGCGACCGGCGCACGGGUGAGUAACACGUAUCCAACCUGCCGAUAACUCUGGAAUAGCCUUUCGAAAGAAAGAUUAAUACCCGAUGGCAUAAUGAUUCCGCAUGGUUUCAUUAUUAAAGGAUUCCGGUAAAGGAUGGGGAUGCGUUCCAUUAGGUUGUUGGUGAGGUAACGGCUCACCAAGCCUCCGAUGGAUAGGGGUUCUGAGAGGAAGGUCCCCCACAUUGGAACUGAGACACGGUCCAAACUCCUACGGGAGGCAGCAUG
This 266-nucleotide ribosomal RNA is filed under the name uncultured bacterium. RNAcentral describes it as "partial 16S ribosomal RNA". It matches the Rfam family "Bacterial small subunit ribosomal RNA", at positions 88 to 353 of the family's 1533-position model. The record is from RNAcentral.